UUUUUAUUCAAAUGUUUGCAUUUAAAGGACAGAAUACUGAGGAAAAACAAAAUUAGAUAUAAAGUACGAGUGAAGAAGGAUAAAGUAUAUGAUAAAAUCAAUGUUAAUAUGCGAUAAAGUAAGGAUAACGUAUGCGAGCAUUUGAGGGAUUAAAGUAAGGAGGAGAAAGGAUAAAGCAAAAGUAAAGAAGGAUAAAGUAAAUAUGUGACAAAAUAUGCGAUAAAGUAAGAAUAAAGUAUAUUUGAGGGAAGAAGAGUAAAGUAAGACUAAUGUUAAAGUCAAGAAGGAUAAAGUGUGUGAAUAUUGGAAGGAUAAAGUAAGGAGGGGAAGGAAGAAUUGUAAAAUUAUGAUAAGAUAAAAUAAAUAAAAAUAAAGUAAUAGGAGAAAUGCAGAAAGGUAAACAUUUGUUUGAUAUGCCGGAGGAUUGUGCACCUGCAUACACAUACACACAUACAACAUACAGACAUACAACAUACACACAUACAAAAUACACACAUACAUACAUACAUAGAGAAAAAAAAUAAAUGGAAAUAAAUCAAGGAAGAGAGAAUGUAGAAGUGUAAAAAAUAUGUUGAAGAAAGAUAGAAAAUAAUAGAUAGGAGGAUAUACAAAAUGUAACAAUGUGGUGAGGGUUGUAGUGAAAACAAUAUGCUCCCGCAACCACCAGUUUAUUAAAAUAAACUGACUGAUUUGAAAGAGGAGCACGGUGACCUCAGCUGGACUGUGGUGUGGUGUGCAUGGUUUCUUGUGAUGGUGAUAGUACGCGGUGCGUGUUAUACCCGCACUGACGGGACGGGCAGCGAGGACAACAGGUGCAGCAGAUAGCCAGUUGGAGCGGUAUAGAGUGCUGCAGGACUUGCUGACUGUGACAGGGCAGUAGUGCCCCAUAGCGAGACCCAGUGGUGCUGGGAUUAGCUAGCAAUCCUGCCCUCCUGUGUGUGUAUAAGAAGUGUCUAGCAUGAAAUUCUCAUGAGAGCAGUUUGGUGCAAGAUCAUGAUGAGGCAGCAGUUGUCACCUGAUUAAGGGCCUGCUUGCUUGGGAAGGUCACCACGGGGCUCAUGCCGUGAAUCUCCUUGCGUGGCAGUUUUUCCAUCAC
This is a long non-coding RNA of Scylla paramamosain (green mud crab), 1096 nucleotides long. RefSeq lists it as uncharacterized. The transcript is spliced from 3 exons. Lineage: Eukaryota; Metazoa; Arthropoda; Malacostraca; Decapoda; Portunidae. The record is from RefSeq and is a predicted model, not a curated record.